Long non-coding RNA from Hevea brasiliensis (rubber tree), 1196 nucleotides. RefSeq lists it as uncharacterized. The record is from RefSeq and is a predicted model, not a curated record. NCBI's taxonomy places the organism in Eukaryota, Viridiplantae, Streptophyta, Magnoliopsida, Malpighiales, Euphorbiaceae. The transcript is spliced from 2 exons.
UAAACAUUUAUUUACUUUACAUAGUGGGUUUAAAUGUAAGAUAUUGUAAAGCCUCUGUGUGUGUGUGUGUGUGUGUGUGUGUGUGUGUGUGUGUGUGUGCUCAUAUUGGAUUAAUGACAGGCUCGCAUGACUUUGGAAAGUCCAAUUGAGCAGUUUUUAGGAUAAAACUGGAUUCCAUGAGAUUUUCAAGUAUUUUUGGAGGAUCAUUUUACCUUCUGAGGCUUUUGAUUCUUGAAUUUGGUUCUUCUUUAAUCUCAUUUUGAUUUGCAAUUUGCAGAAAUGGCGUGAGAGCUUUUCGUAUAAUGAAGGCACUUUUUAUUCAAGUUCCUAUUUCUAUCUCCUUUUUCCUUGCCUGUCAGAUGCAUAUCUGAACAAGUGUUUCUUAUCAUUUUUAAAACAUCCUGCAAAUUAAAAUGACUAUAUUAUGCUUUAUUUCUCUAGAUCUCAAAACAUGACAGAAAAGUUGCCAUCCUUUAAAAGUGGUGGAGCUUACUCGUUUGUUGAUUUGUCGACUUCAGAUGGUCUAUGCAUCUGUCCUCUUUUGACAGCAUUGUCUUUUUUGAUAAGAGUGGAGGUAUAUUUUGUUAUUUGACAGCAAGCUGGAAACCUACCACAUUAUCACCUAUCAAAUUAUCAUCCCAGAUUUCGGAUCACAAAAUAUCUUCAUCUUCAAUUAUUAAGCCAGGGGCUUAGAAGUCUAGAAAAACCAGAAAAUGCAAGAGAGUUUUCUUGAAAAAGGAGAAAUUUUAAAAUACUGCCGUUAUAUGUACUUGUGAGCACUUCCUUUUGGCCAUUCUGUCCAAUACUUGAGGGGCAGUGAGGUAGAAACUCUUGGAACCUACUACAGGCAAACUUGAAAAUUUGUAUGGAGAGAAAGACCGGUAAUCCAGGGUGGUGGCAUCAACUGAUUAUAACUAAUUUCUAAUCCUGUGGUUGAAUGAUUGUAAGGGUCUGCAUAUAAAAAUGCCGACAAAUAAAUGUAAACGAAGAGGAGCGUUGCCAACGCUUCAAUCCUUCAGGAAACGGCCAAAUCAAUCACAGUAUGGAGAACUUGUCAUCUGGGAGCGAGAGGAAAUAACAAGGACUAGAACCACUUUUCUGAUAUAAAUGCUCUGAUUAUGUCUUUAAAUUAAAUAUCGAUGUUUCUUAAAUAUAACAGAAUUACAGUUACAAUAAUCUAAGCUUUCUUUCCAAUC